GGAGAUUUGGCCGAGCGGUUAAGGCGCCACUUUCGAAAGGUGGUUCAUUCGUGAGCGUAGGUUCGAGUCCUGCAGUCUUCG
The sequence is a transfer RNA, 81 nucleotides long. It matches the Rfam family "tRNA". Rfam says of the family: Transfer RNA (tRNA) molecules are approximately 80 nucleotides in length. Their secondary structure includes four short double-helical elements and three loops (D, anti-codon, and T loops). Further hydrogen bonds mediate the characteristic L-shaped molecular structure. tRNAs have two regions of fundamental functional importance: the anti-codon, which is responsible for specific mRNA codon recognition, and the 3' end, to which the tRNAs corresponding amino acid is attached (by aminoacyl-tRNA synthetases). tRNAs cope with the degeneracy of the genetic code in two manners: having more than one tRNA (with a specific anti-codon) for a particular amino acid; and 'wobble' base-pairing, i.e. permitting non-standard base-pairing at the 3rd anti-codon position. The record is from Rfam.